This 859-nucleotide ribosomal RNA is filed under the name uncultured bacterium. RNAcentral describes it as "bacterial SSU rRNA". It matches the Rfam family "Bacterial small subunit ribosomal RNA", at positions 25 to 897 of the family's 1533-position model. The record is from RNAcentral.
CAGAAUGAACGUGGCGGGCGUGGAUUAGGCAUGCAAGUCGAGCGGAAAGGCCCGCAAGGGUACUCGAGCGGCGUAAGGGACAGUAAUGUAUAGGUACGUACCCUCCGGUCUGGGAUAGCUGCGGGAAACUGCAAUUAAUACCAGAUAAUGUCUCCGGACCAAAGGUGUGAUUCCACCGGGGGAGCGGCCUAUAUCCUAUUAGCUAGUUGGUGAGGUAACGGCUCACCAAGGCAAAGAUGGGUAGCAGGUGUGAGAGCACGACCUGCGUCACUGGGACUGAGAACUGCCCAGACACCUACGGGUGGCUGCAGUCGAGAAUCUUCGGCAAUGAGCGCAAGCUUGACCGAGCGACGCCGCGUGUGGGAUGAAGGCCUUCGGGUUGUAAACCACUGUCGAGGGGGACGAAAUUCUAUGGGGUACUCUUCAUAGAUUGACAGAUCCCUGGAGGAAGGGUGGGCUAAGUUCGUGCCAGCAGCCGCGGUAAGACGUACCACCCAAACGUUAUUCGGAUUCACUGGGCUUACAGAGUCCGUAGGCGGUGGAGAAAGUUAGGCGUGAAGUCCCUCAGCUCAACUGAGGAAUAGCGCUUAAAACUACUUCGCUAGAGAGAGUCAGAGGUGAGCGGAACUGAUGGUGGAGCGGUGAAAUGCGUUGAUAUCAUCAGGAACACCGGUGGCGAAAGCGGCUCACUGGGGCUUUUCUGACGCUGAGGGACGAAAGCUAGGGGAGCGAACGGGAUUAGAUACCCCGGUAGUCCUAGCCUUAAACGAUGAGCACUAGAUCGAGGGGACCCUCACAUCUCCUUGGUCGUAGGGAAACUGUUAAGUGCUCCGCCUGGGGAGUAUGGGUCGCAGGCUGA